RNAcentral lists this ribosomal RNA (510 nucleotides) under uncultured bacterium. Its description in RNAcentral is "partial 16S ribosomal RNA". It matches the Rfam family "Bacterial small subunit ribosomal RNA", at positions 28 to 507 of the family's 1533-position model. The record is from RNAcentral.
GACGAACGCUGGCGGCGUGCUUAACACAUGCAAGUCGAACGAAGAGCGAUGGAAGUUUUCUUCUCUCAAUCUUAGUCGCACACGUGUGUGUAACGCGUAAUCAACCUGCUCUUCAGAGGGGGACAACAGUUGGAAACGACUGCUAAUACCGCAUAAGCUCUAAUCUCGGCAUCUAGGAUAGAUGAAAGGUGUCCUCUACAUGUAAGCUAUCACUGAAGGAGGGGAUUGCGUUUGAUUAGCUAGUUGGCGGGGUAACGGCCCACCAUGGCGAUGAUAAGUAGCCGGUCUGAGAGGAUGAACGGCCACAGUGGGACUGAGACACGGCCCAGACUCCUACGGGAGGCAGCAGUGGGGAAUCUUCCGCAAUGGACGAAAGUCUGACGGAGCAACGCCGCGUGAGUGAUGAAGGCCUUCGGGUUGUAAAGCUCUGUUAAUAGGGACGAAAGGCCUUCUGGCGAAAAGUGAGAAGGAUUGACGGUACCGGAACAGAAAGCCACGGCUAACUACGUG